ACUCAACUGACGAGUCCAAAAUAGGACGAAACGUGCGUUCUGGAU
Molecule: non-coding RNA, 45 nt
Filed under: Schistosoma haematobium
Lineage: Eukaryota; Metazoa; Platyhelminthes; Trematoda; Strigeidida; Schistosomatidae
Source: RNAcentral